CUUAGAUUUAAACUUCCUUCGCCUCUUUCCAAAGAUAAAAGAAUAUAUAUUAACUCCCCUCACCUUUCCAUUAAACAUGAGAACCAUUUUUAUUAUAACCCCACUUACCUUUCCACUUCCUUGCCCUUACUCUUCCCUUGCUUACACUUCCCUCACCCUAUCCAAACAGACCCUUAAGAAAAUGAAUUUGGACAGAUAUGUGAGUCAGAAGUUUUAAUCAAUUUCGUAGAUGCCUAACUGUUGACUUUAAGACUUGUAUCAUCAAUCUGAAUUUGACACAAAUUGAAUUUUCCUAUAAAAGAACGACCACGUCUCCUGCAGUCCUCUACAAAUACAAAAAGCCAAAAUAGGAGGGGGGGGAGGGGGGAAGAGAGUGGAGAGUGUUGGGGCGGGCGCGGUGGUGUUAGUGUAUAAAUACAAAUAUAAGAACGGCAACUUUUUAAGAAAUCAGAAUUCCAUAAAAUUUUCCUAAUUUAGCUAACAACAGCAAAAUUUAAGCUAAAAAUUACCCAAAAUAACUCGCAUUAUGAUAAACUUACUCCAAAUAGUAAUAAUAUUAAUCAACUCAAUAUCCUAAUCACACAAUAAACAGCCAAAAACACGUCAAAAAUACAAGCAUAUCUAUCCAUGCCUGUAAG
Molecule: unclassified non-coding RNA, 638 nt
Filed under: Hevea brasiliensis (rubber tree)
Lineage: Eukaryota; Viridiplantae; Streptophyta; Magnoliopsida; Malpighiales; Euphorbiaceae
Source: RNAcentral